UACGGGGGGGGCAAGCGUUGUUCGGAAUUACUGGGCGUAAAGGGCUCGUAGGUGGCCAACUAAGUCAGACGUGAAAUCCCUCGGCUUAACCGGGGAACUGCGUCUGAUACUGGAUGGCUUGAGUUUGGGAGAGGGAUGCGGAAUUCCAGGUGUAGCGGUGAAAUGCGCAGAUAUCGGGAGGAACACCGGUGGCGAAGGCGGCUCUCUGGGCCUGUCCUGACGCUCAGGCGCGAAAGCUAGGGGAGCAAACAGG
RNAcentral lists this ribosomal RNA (253 nucleotides) under uncultured bacterium. RNAcentral's name for it is "partial 16S ribosomal RNA". It matches the Rfam family "Bacterial small subunit ribosomal RNA", at positions 524 to 776 of the family's 1533-position model. The record is from RNAcentral.